GACGAACGCUGGCGGCGUGCUUAACACAUGCAAGUCGAACGGUGAACUCCGCUUGCGGGGGGAUCAGUGGCGAACGGGUGAGUAACACGUGGGCAACCUGCCCUCAGCUCUGGGAUAACUCCAAGAAAUUGGGGCUAAUACUGGAUAUGACUGCUGACCGCAUGGUCUGGUGGUGGAAAGAUUUAUCGGCUGGGGAUGGGCCCGCGGCCUAUCAGCUUGUUGGUGGGGUAGUGGCCUACCAAGGCGACGACGGGUAGCCGGCCUGAGAGGGUGACCGGCCACACUGGGACUGAGACACGGCCCAGACUCCUACGGGAGGCAGCAGUGGGGAAUAUUGCGCAAUGGGCGAAAGCCUGACGCAGCGACGCCGCGUGGGGGAUGACGGCCCUCGGGUUGUAAACCUCUUUCAGCAGGGACGAAGCGGAAGUAACGGUACCUGCAGAAGAAGCACCGGCCAACUACGUGCCAGCAGCCGCGGUAAUACGUAGGGUGCAAGCGUUGUCCGGAAUUAUUGGGCGUAAAGAGCUCGUAGGCGGUUUGUUGCGUCGGCUGUGAAAACCUGAGGCUCAACCUCAGGCCUGCAGUCGAUACGAGCAGACUAGAGUGUUGCAGGGGAGACUGGAAUUCCUGGUGUAGCGGUGAAAUGCGCAGAUAUCGGGAGGAACACCGGUGGCGAAGGCGGGUCUCUGGGCAACAACUGACGCUGAGGAGCGAAAGCGUGGGGAGCGAACAGGAUUAGAUACCCUGGUAGUCCACGCCGUAAACGUUGGGCGCUAGGUGUGGGGCUCAUUCCACGAGUUCCGUGCCGCAGCUAACGCAUUAAGCGCCCCGCCUGGGGAGUACGGCCGCAAGGCUAAAACUCAAAGGAAUUGACGGGGGCCCGCACAAGCGGCGGAGCAUGUUGCUUAAUUCGAUGCAACGCGAAGAACCUUACCUAGGCUUGACAUGCACGGAAAUCCUCCAGAGAUGGUGGGUCCGUAAGGGUCGUGCACAGGUGGUGCAUGGUUGUCGUCAGCUCGUGUCGUGAGAUGUUGGGUUAAGUCCCGCAACGAGCGCAACCCUCGUUCUAUGUUGCCAGCACGUGAUGGUGGGGACUCAUAGGAGACUGCCGGGGUCAACUCGGAGGAAGGUGGGGAUGACGUCAAAUCAUCAUGCCCCUUAUGUCUAGGGCUGCAAACAUGCUACAAUGGCCGGUACAAAGGGCUGCGAUACCGCGAGGUGGAGCGAAUCCCAAAAAGCCGGUCUCAGUUCGGAUUGGGGUCUGCAACUCGACCCCAUGAAGUUGGAGUCGCUAGUAAUCGCAGAUCAGCAACGCUGCGGUGAAUACGUUCCCGGGCCU
This 1339-nucleotide ribosomal RNA is filed under the name uncultured bacterium. Its description in RNAcentral is "bacterial SSU rRNA". It matches the Rfam family "Bacterial small subunit ribosomal RNA", at positions 28 to 1381 of the family's 1533-position model. The record is from RNAcentral.